GUGCGGCACCCAGAGGCCGUCCUGUAGCCGGGCCGGCUUGGGGCUUGGUUCUAUGUCCCUGCGGGUCGGUGCAAGGGCGAAGAGGAACCCGUGGGCCUCAGGGGAUCCCGGGGGGCCGGACCAGUGUUCCCUAGUUGUGGGAGCAGACGCGUGGGCACAUUGCGGGCGGGCAGGGCCUGAAGUGCAGCUAUGUUUCCAGUGUCCUCUGGGUGUUUCCAAGAGCAACAAGAAAUGAAUAAAUCUCUGUUGAAGAGAUACCAUUUGACAUUUUAGAGAUGGCUGCAUGCAAACUCUUGAAACAUUUGACCACCCUCCAGGGUGCCCCGACUCACUUUCCCUGCAGAUGGAGGCAAGGAGGCUCCACAGACAACCCCC
RNAcentral lists this long non-coding RNA (375 nucleotides) under Homo sapiens (human). RNAcentral describes it as "HSALNT0402787". Lineage: Eukaryota; Metazoa; Chordata; Mammalia; Primates; Hominidae. The record is from RNAcentral.